Molecule: long non-coding RNA, 1155 nt
Organism: Hyla sarda
Lineage: Eukaryota; Metazoa; Chordata; Amphibia; Anura; Hylidae
Exons: 3
Source: RefSeq, a predicted model, not a curated record
CCGCGGUGGCCGGCGGCUUCAGGACUGUGCGCAUCAUUAUGAGUCCCCACAGUCACAGAUGACUCAUACAGCCGGGCCCCCAACUGUGAGCCGCUCCUGCCAUCAGUGGAGAUCCAGGGGAGGGGAAAUAUACCUGCUCUGUUGUGUCCUAUGUGUACACAUAUGGACCCCUUCACUGCCUUCCUAUAGCAGUGUUUCCCAAGCAGUGUGCAUCCAGCUGUUGAAAACCACAGCUCCCAGCAUGCCCAGAUAGCCAAAAGUUGUCUGGAUAUGCUGGGAGUUGUAGUUUUGCUAUAUCUGUAUGCACCUGCUUGGGAAACACUGCCAUACACACAGCGAUCUCAACCUCCAGCUCAGCUCCUCCCCUGCUGGUCAUGUGAUCAUAGACUCAUACGGAGGCCUGCUGGGGUCAGAGGAAGGACCAGAGUGCAGGUGAACAGUGGAUGAUGGCAUGACAGGCAGGUUACAUAGGUAACACUAUAAAUACUGUGCCCUGACCCCUGCCAAUCCUCACCCCAUUAGGAUCAGACUCCGCUGACAAAGUAAUGAACCAAUGCCAUCUGGGCGUCAAGUUCUGCAGAGAGAAGAUUUAGCUGGACCCACUGGCAACAAAGAAGACAAGACAUUUCAAGGAUCAGAGGGAGGAUGGCCAGGAGCAGCCGAAUACAACCAACAAACCAAGAAGAUUGGUUCCUAGCAUGCCUUCAAAAUGCCUAGGACAGGAUAAAGAAAACAUUCAGCAAAGAGAAGUUGAAAGGGGUAAUCCAGGAUGAGAAAAUCAGAGCUGAUUUCUUCUGAAAACUGCACCACCUCUGUCCUAAUGUUGUGUGUGAUAUCGCUGCUCAAUUCUUCAAAAGGGAAUGGAGAAAACUUGUAAUAUUACAUACAACAUGAGGACAGGUAUGGUGCUGUUUUUGGAAACAAAUAGCUCUGUUUUCUAUUCCCUUUUAACAAACUCCUAGGAUGCAGCAACAUUCAUCUGAUGGACGGCACAGGUAGGACACUACAUGUUUUUCUAUACAUUUCUCACUAUUAACACCAGAUUCAUGUAACUAACACAAUCAUUUCAAUGGCCUCAGUGCUGAACUUCUAGACACAUGGGAUAUUUAUCAAAACCUAUGUACAGGAAGAGUAUCAUCUUUCAUCCUUUAGAGA